This 3607-nucleotide long non-coding RNA is filed under the name Octopus vulgaris (common octopus). Lineage: Eukaryota; Metazoa; Mollusca; Cephalopoda; Octopoda; Octopodidae. The record is from RNAcentral.
UAGCAUUGAUAUAUUUCGAUGAAAGCUUGUUACUUUUAUUCGUUUAUUCUGCAAUUGAGUCAUGUAAUAUUCUUAAAAUUAAAACAAGGUGUAUUAUUGUGAAUGAGUGAUUGUGCCCGAAAUUGUAUUUUAAGAUGUAACGCUUCUAUCUUUGAUAAGUCUUAUAUUAGCUUCAGGCUAUUGAUAUUGUAAAUAUUGUUUGUUGAUAAAAGUAUUGGAAUUUGUACCAAUAUGUGUCUUUUUUUCCCCCCAACACUAUGUUACCUGGAUGAAAAUGGGGCUGAGUUGCUGGCAAGACGAAGUCAGCUUCUUUGGCAAAAAAAUAACUAGAAGAAUUAUAGGAAGGCUAUUCUGUGACAGGGUAGACAAAAAGUCAUCAGAUAUUGGGGAGCUGUUAAAUCUUGUUCAACCAAGCUACACAUAACGAUGAUAAUUGCCUGGGCCAUGAUUUUUGGUUAAGGUAAGUUUUGUCACCACAUGAGUUGCAGUCUCUACUUGUUUUAGUUUUGUAGUUCAUAGAUAAUUUCUCUUUGUUUAAAGAGGUUUUACACCUUGAGUUAAUAUAUCAUUGAUUUCAGAUGUGGGAGUUUUGUGAUGUGAACAAAUACAGAGAUGAGCUUGUAUUUUUGAAGUAACUUCCUACUAUGCUUUGUCACUGUAAAAUGAUUUUAUUAAGGAUAAGUUGGCGGUUUUUAUAAUGUACUCUUAGAUUUUGUUUCCUCAACUUCAUGAAAAUUGGGUGUUUUGUAAUGAAAAUUUCCAUGAAGUAACAUUCAGAUGUAAAUUACGAUGGUAUCGGAAUUUAAUGUGGGUAUAAUUUCGAGCUUCAUUAUCUAGAUGGUGAGCGCGCAACUCUUUCUCACAUUAAAUUGCGUUAUAAUCGCGAUGUACAUUACCUGAAAGUUGGAAUUUCAUUAGAUAACUUCGUUAUUUCUGAAAGUAAGGAAACAAGGUCAGGAAGUGCUUAUAUUUUGGGAUUCCACAUAAUUUGAUAGGUUUUCUCUUUGUUUUGUCUUGGUUAAUAUCGUGUAGAGAUUUAUCUAGUGUGAUGCUGGCGAAGCACACCGUACAAUUUGGUUGUUUUUUUAGGAUAUUUUUUUUUUUACAUUCCCCGGUGUAUGGAAAACGAAUAUGAUGAAAAUGUUCGCUGACGAUCCUGGCGGGGUGGGAAGGGGACUUUCGGAACAUUCACAAGAUCUGAUUUUUCCGUUAUAACUUUUGAGAAAAUGGAUAUUUUUUUACGGAAUCCGACGCUCUUGGUUAUGGAGGAUUCGAUCCUGGAAAUUUUUCAAAAGUAGCUUUUUCCGGAUUUUGUGGGUGACCGAAAUAGGUAGAGAAAUGCGAAGAUUACGAUUCUGAAAAAAAUUUGUAAAACUUCAAUUUUUCAACAAUAAUACAUAUACCCUCAGGCCUUUAAGCAGGCUAUCCACAUGCUAGAAAUAACGGCCAAAUCUCACAAAGCUGCGAUGACGUAAAGAAAUUUUGAAAAAAAAAUUUUCAGAAUCGAAUCCUCCAUAGCCAAAAACGUGGGAUUCCGUAAAAAUCUAUAUCCAUUUUACCCCAAUUUAAUUUAUGACGGAAAAAUAGGAUCUUGUGAAUUUUCCGAAAGUCUCCUCCCCACCCCAGAAAUCGUCAGCUCAUUUUUUUUCAUAUUCGUUUUCCACACGCUAUCCUUACACGUAAACAUGUAAAAGAUUGUCGAAAAUGCAAGUUUAGGCCUUAAAAUGUGCUUCAUUCCAAACGCUUGUCUGUUUCUAAUAUAUGUAACGUUAAUCUUGUUUCUUGGUUUUCUCGUAAUGGGGAAACUAUUCUAUGUUACUACAAGCUGUUAUAUAUAAUGGUACCAUCUCUUGGACAAAGUAUAGACCACCUAAACCAUCAAGGUGGUGCAGCGUUUUCUAAGAUAAAUGUCUGAUUAGAUAAUAUUAAGUUUUUAGAUGCUGCCAGAAAAUUAAUGCACAGUUUUAACUUUGGAUUGGAUCUUGUAAUUUUCAAUAUAAAACUAGUUAUAUCAUAAUAUACAAGCACAUAUUUACAAGGGAGUGGGCAGAAGUAGACAAUACAAGUUGCUUAAAAGGAGUGGAAUGUUCUUUUCACUAUUUUACCCCAACUUUCCACUCUUAUUGAAAUCACAUGAUAGGCCCUAUGAUUGAUCUGUGGUACUUGCAAACAAGUAGCGUUUUGAGAUCUUUACCUUUUUUGACUGACAGAUUUAAAAAAUAAUUUUUUGUAACUGAACACUUUCAAACUUCGGACACUGGCAGAAUGUGUCGUAAAAUAUCUUUUGCUCUUAGCGUUUUUGAGAAAAGCUUAUAUUUAGGAAGUUAUUUCACGUUAAAGUUGUAUUUCGGUAAUUUCAACCAAUAAAUGAUGACAUCGUUCGUGCGUUUGUACUGGUUUUAGCUGUAAGGGGUUAGGGUUGUCAAAAAUAAGUGACAAACGAAGUAUACACCGCCAGGAGUUCUUGUUGACAACAGCAAUAAUUUAUUCAGCUGAAUACACGUCAUUGCUUGGUUGAAAUUACCGAAAUACUACAACUUUAACGUGAAAUAACUUCUAAAUAUAAGCUUUUCUCAAAAACUUUGUUGCAGAUUUAAGGGGAGAUAACUUGAUUUAGUCUUGAACCAGUUAGAUGAAUAGAUUUUUUUCACAAGUGCAGUUUUCCGUUCGACUUAACGAAAUGAAAUUUGAAUUUCACACCUAUGUAAAUGGUUGAUAGGCUUAAAGUAGACAUAUCAGUUCAUUUAUGAUCUUGUUUGCCAGUCAGUAAUACAUCAAUAGCUGCUACAUGAAUAUUCUGUUUAUCUUGUGUAGUAUUGAAGCGUUUUAUAGAAUUAAAACUGACACAUAGGCAAUGCAUGAUGGGCUGAAGUAUUUUUAGAUGGUAUAUCAUGCAACAUAUCUAUUGCAUUAAAGUAUUAAAAUGUGUAUACUAAAAUAUGUUGAAUGCAGGCAUACUAUUAUAUCCAAUCCAAAGUUUGUGUAUAGAGCUAUCUGGUUAGGUUGUCAAUGAAGUGGCUAAGAUAACUAUGGUAUUUUUUGGAUAUAUUUUAGUAUUGUUUUGAAGUUUAACAAAAUAGUUGAACAACAAAAGAUCUUUUCCUUUUUAGGUCUGCUGUCCAAUAUUUGAAGCUUACAAGGCAAUUUGCAUACUUGUCCAAGACACUUGGGACAACUGCAGUGGCAGGAAUGUUGUGUUGGAUGAGUGCUUCAUGAAACAUGGCUUUUGAAUAUUCGAAGAAAAGGGUUUCUGUAAAUUUUAACAAGUUUCACAUUUUCUAAAUGAAAUAAGUUGUAAUUUAUUGAGCAUCAUAACCAAAUCUGGAACUGGAAAUAGACAAGGCAAACAUGAAUUUACAUUCACAAAAAGACAAUCCCACAUAAGAUACUAAACUGAAAAAGUGACAAGCUAUUUUAACUGCAUACAACAAAACAGCUCUGGAUGACAUACAACACUAAUGCUUUGGAAUAUACAAAUGUGCUGAAAAAUUAGGGUGAAAUCUUGAGCUUCAUGGUUACAUGAAUAGGAAACAAAUAGGUUCUUAUGAAACAUCACAUUUUUAAAUAGUGAACCCAACAGAGUAAAUGUCAAUUUGAUAAAACUUGG